GGGCUUGUAGCUCAGUUGGUUAGAGCGUUCGGUUUACAUCCGAAAGGUCCCUGGUUCGAGCCCAGGCAGGCCCACCA
RNAcentral lists this transfer RNA (77 nucleotides) under candidate division WWE3 bacterium RIFOXYA12_FULL_43_11. RNAcentral's name for it is "tRNA-Val". It matches the Rfam family "tRNA". Rfam says of the family: Transfer RNA (tRNA) molecules are approximately 80 nucleotides in length. Their secondary structure includes four short double-helical elements and three loops (D, anti-codon, and T loops). Further hydrogen bonds mediate the characteristic L-shaped molecular structure. tRNAs have two regions of fundamental functional importance: the anti-codon, which is responsible for specific mRNA codon recognition, and the 3' end, to which the tRNAs corresponding amino acid is attached (by aminoacyl-tRNA synthetases). tRNAs cope with the degeneracy of the genetic code in two manners: having more than one tRNA (with a specific anti-codon) for a particular amino acid; and 'wobble' base-pairing, i.e. permitting non-standard base-pairing at the 3rd anti-codon position. Lineage: Bacteria; candidate division WWE3. The record is from RNAcentral. RNAcentral also lists the same sequence under 4 other names.